AAUCAACGCUGGCGGCGUGCCUCAGACAUGCAAGUCGAACGAUUAAAGCUCUCUUCGGAGAGUGUAUAGAGUGGCGCACGGGUGAGUAACACGUAAGUAAUCUACCUUUGAGUGGGGAAUAACAGUCGGAAACGACUGCUAAUACCGCAUAAUGCAGCGGCAUCGCAAGAUGACAGUUGUUAAAGGAGCAAUCCGCUUAAAGAGGAGCUUGCGGCAGAUUAGCUAGUUGGUAAGGUAAUGGCUUACCAAGGCUACGAUCUGUAUCCGGUCUAAGAGGACGGUCGGACACACUGACACUGAAUAACGGGUCAGACUCCUACGGGAGGCAGCAGUCGGGAAUUUUGGGCAAUGGGCGAAAGCCUGACCCAGCAACGCCGCGUGAAGGAUGAAGUAUUUCGGUAUGUAAACUUCGAAAGAAUGGGAAGAAUAAAUGACGGUACCAUUUAUAAGGUCCGGCUAACUACGUGCCAGCGCCGC
This 477-nucleotide ribosomal RNA is filed under the name uncultured bacterium. RNAcentral describes it as "bacterial SSU rRNA". It matches the Rfam family "Bacterial small subunit ribosomal RNA", at positions 32 to 518 of the family's 1533-position model. The record is from RNAcentral.